GCCCAAGAGAUCGGGAUAACACCUGGAAACAGAUGCUAAUACCGGAUAACAAUAGAUGAUGCCUAUCAACUGUUUAAAAGAUGGUUCUGCUAUCACUCUUGGAUGGACCUGCGGUGCAUUAGCUAGUUGGUAGGGUAACGGCCUACCAAGGCGAUGAUGCAUAGCCGAGUUGAGAGACUGAUCGGCCACAUUGGGACUGAGACACGGCCCAAACUCCUACGGGAGGCAGCAGGC
This 234-nucleotide ribosomal RNA is filed under the name uncultured Lactobacillus sp. RNAcentral's name for it is "partial 16S ribosomal RNA". It matches the Rfam family "Bacterial small subunit ribosomal RNA", at positions 128 to 354 of the family's 1533-position model. Lineage: Bacteria; Bacillati; Bacillota; Bacilli; Lactobacillales; Lactobacillaceae. The record is from RNAcentral.